GCUGGGGACCUAAAACACAAAGGGACGCAUGAUAAAAUAACUUAAUAUGUAUUCCACAUAUGAAUCGCUUACCUGUCAUACUGUGUGCUAACUUUCAUCUAUGCUGUGAUAAUCCAAGUGUGCAUCAAAUGCUUAUGCUUCACAACAUACAUUGUGAAGCCUAUCCCUCUAACUGCACUGUAGGGUACACCAAAAGCUUCAGAAUGGAUUAUUGACAGCGGAUGCACUAAUCAUAUGACUGGUGAUCAAAGUCUUCUCAUGGACUCAACCUUACGUCCAUCCGACAAGAGUCAAAUCACAUUUGCUGACACUGGUAAAGGCAAAGUAUUGGGUCUAGGUAGAGUUGCAAUAUCAAAGGAUCAACACAUGGAUAAAGUGAUGCUUGUUGAAUCCCUUGGAUUCAACUUAAUGUCUGUCUCAAUGCUAUGUGACUUAAACAUGAUUGUGAUAUUUAGAAAAUAUCGUUGCCUUGUACUAAUGGAAUCUGACAAAUCUCAAGUCUUUGAAGGGUAUAGGAAAGGUGAUCUAUACAUGGUAGAUUUCUCAGUAGGUCCAAAACUUGCCGUAUGUCUUCUUGCAAAAGCUUCAGAAUGCUGGCUCUGGCAUCGAAGGCUGGGGCAUGCAGGCAUGAGGAACUUGCACACUCUCGUCAAGAAGAAUCAUGUCAUAGGCAUCGAAGGCGUCAAGUUCAAGAAAGAUCAUCUGUGUGGUGCCUGCAAAGCUGGAAAGAUGACAAGGGCCAAGCAUCCUUCGAAGACAAUCAUGACGACAUCUCAACCCUUUGAGUUGUUGCGCAUGGACUUAUUUGGCCCUACUCACUACUCCACCCUCACAACAACGGCGUGUCUCUAUGGCUUCGUCAUUGUUGAUGACUACUCAAGAUACACAUGGGUGCACAUAAUUCUCUACAAGACUGAAGUACAAGAUGUCUUCAGACGAUUCGCCAAUCGAGCAAUGAACAACUAUGGCAUCAAGAUCAAGCAUAUCAGAAGUGAUAACGGCACUGAAUUCAAGAACACCGGCCUUGAUCUUUAUCUGGAUACAAUGGGAAUCACUCAUGAAUUUUCUGCUCCAUACACACCACAGCAAAAUGGCAUUGUUGAGCGCAAGAACAGAACCCUUAUUGAGAUGGCUCGAACAAUGCUCGAUGAGUACAAGACACCAAGAAAGUUCUGGCCUGAAGCCAUUGAUACAGCUUGUCACAUCAUCAACCGUGUCUACAUCCAUAAGCUUCUGGGCAAAACAUCCUAUGAGCUCCUCACUGGCAAGAAGCCAAAUGUCAGGUACUUCAGAGUCUUUGGUGCUAGGUGCUGGAUCAAGGAUCCCCAUCACAAGUCAAAAUUUGAACCCAAAGCUCACGAAGGCUUCAUGCUUGGCUAUGGAAAGGAUUCACACUCUUACAGAGUCUUCAACCUCUUCCACUACAAAAUCGUUGAAACAGUGGAUGUGCGAUUUGAUGAAACCAAUGGUUCACAACGAGAGCUCCUGCCAAGCACACUUGAUGAAGCUCCUUCCAGUGAAUCUAUCAAGCUAAUGGGAACUGGUGAAAUCAUGCCCUCUGAAGCACAGCCUGAAGAGGAACUUAUCAUCUCUGCACCAAACCAACCUGAAGACAAUGCUCAGUCCGAAGACAAUCCUCCCAAUGAUGACAAUGAUCAACAUGAGCAAGAGCUUCGUCCAGUUCAUCCUCGUGUUGCAAAUGAAGUACAAAUCGAGAAGAUAAUUGAUAGCAUCAAUGCGCCUGGUCCGCUUACUCGAUCAAGAGCAACACAGCUAGCAAAUUUCUAUGGGCAUUUUUCAUUUGUAUCAAUAUCUGAACCCAAGAAAGUUGCUGAAGCCUUUAUGGAACCUGAAUGAAUUCAAGCCAUGCAAGAAGAACUUCAACAGUUCAAACUGAAUAAUGUUUGGGAACUGGUCAAGCGCCCUGACCCUCGCAAACACAACAUUAUUGGAACAAAGUGGAUAUAUCGAAACAAGCAAGAUGAGCAUGGUCAAGUCAUUAGAAACAAAGCACGUCUUGUGGCUCAAGGAUACACUCAAGUUGAAGGAAUUGACUUUGAUGAAACAUUUGCUCCUGUUGCUAGGCUUGAAGCCAUUCGCAUACUGCUAGCCUAUGCAAAUCAUCACAAUAUCUUGCUAUAUCAAAUGGAUGUAAAGAGUGCAUUUCUCAAUGGCAAGAUUGAAGAAGAAGUGUAUGUUGCACAACCACCUGGCUUUGAAGAUCCAAAACAUCCUGAUAUGGUGUACAAACUCAACAAAGCACUGUAUGGCCUCAAACAAGCUCCUCGCGCUUGGUAUGAUACAAUCAAAGACUUCCUGAAGAGCAAAGGCUUCAAACCAGUAUCCCUCGAUCCCACACUCUUCACGAAGACAUAUGAUGGUGAACUGUUUGUGUGCCAAAUAUAUGUGGAUGACAUAAUCUUCGGUUGCACCAACCAGAAGUACAGUGAUGAGUUUGGAUAUAUGAUGCAAGAGCAAUAUCAGAUGUCCAUGAUGGGUGAGCUGAAGUUCUUCCUUGGUCUUCAAAUCCGUCAACAAAGAAAUGGCAUCUUCAUAUCUCAAGAAAAAUAUCUCAAAGAUUUCCUGAAGAAGUUCGGCAUGCAAGAUUGCAAAGGUUACACGACGCCAAUGCCAGCCAAACAUCAUCUUGGUCCCGAUGACAAUGGUAAAGAGUUCGAUCAAAAGGUAUACCGCUCCAUGAUUGGUUCUUUACUUUACCUAUGUGCAUCUAGGCCAGAUAUUAUGCUUAGUGUUUGCAUGUGUGCUCGAUUCCAAGCGGCACCAAAGGAAUCGCAUCACUUAGCAGUGAAGCGAAUUCUUAGAUAUUUGGUUUACACCCCAACACUCGGAUUAUGGUAUCCAAAGGGCUCAAGGUUUGAUCUGGAUGGAUUCUCGGAUGCUGAUUAUGCUGGUGACAAGGUGGAUUGCAAGUCUACAUCAGGCACAUGUCAUUUUCUUGGUCGAUCACUUGUCUGUUGGUCUUCAAAGAAGCAGAACUGUGUGUCACUCUCAACUGCUGAAUCUGAAUACAUUGCUGCUGGAUCUUGUUGUGCUCAGCUUCUGUGGAUGAAGCAAACUCUCAAGGACUAUGGCAUCGAUCUGAAGCAAGUCCCUCUCUUCUGCGACAACGAAAGUGCCAUCAAGAUUGCCAACAAUCCAGUCUAGCACUCGAAGACAAAGCACAUUGAAAUUCGUCAUCAUUUUCUCAGAGAUCAUGUCAUGAAGAAAGAUAUUGACAUCAUUCACGUCAACACUGAAGAGCAACUGGCAGAUAUCUUCACAAAGCCCUUGGAUGAGAAAAGGUUUUGCAAGUUACGGUGUGAGCUAAAUAUCUUGGAAUCCUUGAAUGUCCUGUGAUCAAGCACACAUCCUAACACUUAUGCAUGUAGAUGACUUGGAUGUGCAACACACAAAGUAAUGUAUAUCUUCAAUCAUUGAAGACUUACACUCUGAGUGUGAAUAUAUUAACAUGGAAUUUGACUUCGGAGCGCCAUGAUAAUUGUGCGCCGUGUCUGGGUCUAAUACUUCCUAUACGGUGGGAAACGCCACCACCAAAUUUCUCAUUUUGAAGUGUUUCACUCAUGGCGUUAUUUUGCAAAGACUUCGCAUUUGGUUUGUCUUCAGUUUCAAUUUAUCUUCGUGAUUUUCUGUGCUAUGAUGAUUUCAUUGCAUAUAUAUAUAUACUAGUGUGCUGUCCUCUACAGCAUUCACUUAUAGCUAUGUCCUCACUGUUGAAUCUUUUGAACUAAGUGAAUGUGAUCGGACCCUAAUCUCUCUAUGCUUACUAUCUCAAACUCUAUCUGUCCAAAUCAUAUGCAUUCUAUUGAAACUGUCGAAUGUCUUCUCUGCAUCCUUGUCAGCAGAAGACACAGAGACAAAACAUCAAGUCCUAUUUAAAUGAAUCAUCUUUAUUGUCGAUAUCCGGAGAAGCCGGAACAAACAUCCGACAUACUUGGCGGGCGUGGGAACGUGGGACAAUUCUAAAUGUGUUGCAUGCUUGCCACGCACCCCACGAUGUGAAUAGACAGGGGCACCUGCGUAAUUGCGCUGUGCUGCGCACCUACUUAUAAAUAUGUGUCCCCUGCGGUAAAGAAAUCCUUCUUCCACCUCUCCACCUCCGUCAAAACCCUAGCGCCACCGCUAGCUCACGACGAUGCCGACGACGAAGCGCUUAGCUGCCGCAACUUCUCCGACGCCGUCCUCACGCCGGCCGCGAACAUCGUCCUCUCCGCCGUCGCCGUAGGUGUCCUCCGUCGCCAAGUUAGGGCACGGUGGACUGAACUGCUUGGUCUCCUAUUCUUCCCAUCUAGUAGUUCUUCGUGCGGUAAUUAUAACUCUAUUUUUACCACCUUUAUGAUCUUCAAGAUUCAUCCUGUUUACCGAAAGUAGUUUCUACCUAUCCAAUGUUGAAUCGAUUCUGUCUGCAUCUCUUAAUGCCUAGCAUAUUCACUUAGAUUUCCUAUCUAGUUUGAUUCCUCACUUGUACUUAUUCACGAAUUGGUACAAAUCUGGAACCAACUCACCUAUAUAAGUGAAUGUCUUCGCAUCAUGAGGUCAAUGUCUUCAAACUGAUUUAUCUUCAAAAUCUUCUGAGAAUGCAUAUGACCUCGUCCCCUUCCCUCGCAUCUCUAAUGUUGUCACAGGUACAUGUCCGUGGGAGAAUCCCUAGGUUCUCAUAGUCUGCAUUCGUUUGCAGAAUACUUACAGCAUCAUAUCAAUUCUCCUGAAGCCAGUUCCUGCUUGACCAGCAAGCGUAAAUCUCUGAAGCCUUUGAGCAUAUUGAAACCGUUCAGUUUGAAGUUCAUGGCUGCACAGAAAUCGGUCAGGAAGGGUGGCAGACAGUGUCGUGGGGGAACUUCUAGGGAUCUGCCUAAUGAUCUUGCAGAUAUAUACAAAACAGAUCCUGAAGAAGAUUACAAUCAACACAAGACUAGAAUCCAAUGGAUUCGACGCUAUUGGGCUGAACAGUGGUACAAGUACAAGUUCGUCGCCCAGGAGUACGCAGAGAAGUAUGCUAUCAAGAGUCCUUAGGGCGAUAUUCUCUAUCGAGGCCUUCCCCCCAAGAACAGAGCUGAAGCCAUUGAGCAAAAAUUCUAUCCGUGCAUGGUCUGUGGACCACAGCCUGAAGAAGCCGACCCAUCAUCAUUGCUCUGGUGUCGCGACGACAAUCUCUUCAAGCGCAACUUCCAGUUUGCUAUGUCUUCAGCAAAGGAAAACAAGAAGUCAUGGGGAUUAGACUUCAAUCCUGGUCCCUCUGCUCCCCGUGAGGAUGGGACACGUGAAGCUGAAGAGAAUAGAAUUGGCCCCUUUGCAAACCUUGAUGGUCUCAUCUCCUACAUCUUGGUUCAUGGUGCCAAAGUGGAUCAUCCCAACAAUGAUACUGAUUCAGAUGAAGCCCCUGCUCCUACUCCAAGGCCGAAGAAGCCAAAGAAGUUUAAGGUUUCAUCAUCAGCCGCACCUCCAAAAGCUUCUCGUGUGAAGCCAUUGGCCACUACACCUCCUGAAGCCAGUGUGCAGUCUGAAGAUCAAUCUCGUAUCUCCAAGAAGACGGAGAAGAAAAAGCAACUUGUUAGGCGUACUGAUCAAGCUCUGACUCCUGCUGCUAUUCUGCGUGAAGAACCCAUUGAUCUAUCAAGUGAUGAAGAUCUUGCGGAUGAUGCUCUUGAGCAGCUGAUAAAGAGCAAGGAAGAAGCAGAAAUCUUCAGCAAUUUGCCUCUCUUUGAUGUGGCCAUCAUCCACAAUUUCAUUGAUGAGUGGUUUGACACCCCAAAUGUCAGCUUUGAAGAUUUGCAGCUUCCAAUUGGCCUCGGCGUCUCUUUCAAUGGUGCCAUUGCUUCUGAGCUGGCUCUCGCUCAGCGAAUCGUUGAGCUCAAGCACAAGAUUGAUUAUGAAAAGGCUCAAUUCAAGAAGCAUAUGGCCAAGCUGAGUGUUCAAGAUGUCAGGAACUUUAAGGUCAUGCUGCAUGAGCUUAAAGAAGCUUUUCUGAAGAAGCGCCAAGAAGCUCAAGGCUCUCGUGAGCGCAUGAAGAGUUUGGCUGAUAAGUGUGUGCUUGCCUACAAUGAGGCUGAGAAGCGCAAGUCACUUGGCCGUCCUGGCAUUGACCCCAGGAUGGCAGCAAAGAAAAAGAAGAAGCUUCCUGCUGAUCAGCUUGCGCCUUCAAGCCAAGAAGCUCCACGCAUUAUCUUCCCAAGUAGCAUGACUGGCUCGAAGCCAAAGGUCACCACAACCGCUUCAGAACAGAAGAAGACGAGGGCUGUAGAGGCUGAAGCCAGAAAGAGGAAGAAUACCGAAGCCUCUGAUGCCGCUCCCUCCAAGAAGAAGCGCAAGACCAAGAAGAAUCGGGCUGCUCCCACAGAGCCCCUUUUUGUUGAACCCAUCUUAGUGAUUCAUCCUGCAUCUGCAUCCCAAGAACUUCACAUGACUGUUCAUGAGCCUGCUUCCACAGAGGCUCCUGAAGCUGAAGAUAUACCAGCAGCUGAACCCACCGCUGCUGAAGACAUUGAUCAUCAUGACAAUGUUGAAGAUGAUGAAGUUCUUCCUCAGAUCGAAUACAAUGUGGUAUCAUCGCGUGUUCAUACGAACAGCGAACUCAUCAGCAUUGGUCGUCCUCUGACGCCAAUUGCACAGGAUGAUUCAUGGGCUGAUCGCCCGCAAGAACAAGACUCCCCAACACUCCCCAACAACAACAAGUCACAACAUCCGUACAAGCUGAAGAGGAUGAGGGCCUGCCCACUCCAUCUCCACAAGCGUCGCCAGUACUCCAAAGGCUUCACAAAGUACCAAGGCCUCAAGCUCCUCUUCCGAGCGUUCUAGAAGGAGAAGUGCAUCAUCAACCUGUUGCACGUCAAGUGUUUUCAGAAGCCACUCCUACUGUGAAUGUCUCUGCGUCUGAAGCACCAGCUGCUGAAGACAAUCCGGCUGCAUCAGCCGAUGAAGAACGUCAAGAAGAACAUGUCUCUACUCCCCCCAUUCCUGAAGAAACAGUUCAUGAGGUGAACGUGUCAAUGCCUGACCCUCCAGCUCCUCAAGUGGAGGUUGAAAAUCCUGAAGCUGCCACAACCAACACAAGUGAAGCCGAUGACAUUGUCAUGGCUGAAGCUAAUGUGGAGCUUGCAACAACCAGUGUGCCUGAAGCUAAUGCGGCCACUGCACCUGAAGCUAGUGAGGCUACUGCUUCUGAAGCACCCAUUGUGCAACCUGAAGCCUCUGCUGCUGCCACUGCUCCUGUUCCAGCCCCAAGGCCCUAUACAAUUGAGCAGGCAUAUAACCACGGAGAGCUAACAACAGUCAGAUGGCCUGUUCUGGUCCCUCCGCCUAAUGUCUCUGGUCCUCAAUUUGACUAUCACGUUGAGCAUAGGCCUCAAGUCCAGAAGCCCAAGCCAAGACUGCAAAGAUUUCCUGGUACUACCACCACUGUCGGGUCCUUCAAUGCAAAUGGCUUCAAGAGCCACGAGACAUUCUUUGAUAUCUCGAAGAACCCCUACACAAAGCCAAGAAUUGCAUCAGAUCGGUUCUGGAGUCAUCAGCAGCGAAGCUAUUACUCCUGUGUUCUGUAUGAUCAAGGGCGCAUCUUCCCUCAUAUGCGCCUCGACACUGAAGCCAUUACUGGACUACCCUGCUUAGAAGAAGCACUUGACUGCUUUCGUGAUGCUGGGCUGCUCAGUUUUGUCACAGAUAAAGAACACUGGAAUGAAGAACUAUUGCUUCAAUUCUAUGCCACACUGCACAUUCGCGGCUACAACAGAGAUACGAAGACUUGGGUUCUCGAGUGGAUGACCGAAAACGUUCAUCAUGAAGCCAAAGCUAUGGAUAUCAUCGAGCUUACAGUCCUGUCCACUCCCGGAGAACUCUAUGAACCUGGCUGUCAACAUCAUCGCAAUGCCCUGGAAAGCAUCUUUCAUAGGCCUGAACCCAAUAUGAGUCAGAUGCUGAGCAUGAUGAAGCCUUUGCCCCGUGAUGCUGAAUAUCCAACAGAGUUCUUUGUUGAAGACCUUGAGUAUCUGCCAUGCACCAUAUAUCACAUCAUCAGGCGGACUCUAUGGCCUAUCAAAGGACAUUCAUCAGCGGCAAAGCUUGAAGGAGCUAUGAAGACUUUGGUCUUCUACAUUUUCAAUGGCAUCAGCUUCAAUGCACAAGAUUUCUUCAUCAGACAACUUGCUGCCUCCGGCUCUGAUCUCUUUGGUCUGAAGUUUUAUGCUCCAUGGGUCAUGCGCCUCAUAAAGCGACACUCUACUGUCAACUAUCAACCUUCUGCUCGCAAUCAUGUGAUUUUUCUACCUGAGGUUGAUAUGUCAGUUGAAGCUAUAUAUCCUGACCCUGCCAAGAAGCCUCUUUGUCUUCAGAAUGCCGAGCACCAAAGCUUCACUCAACCCAUUGAAGGUGUUCAAGCAGCUACACGAAUCUAUCCAUUGGCUGGAAAUACUCGUCUGCCUCAUCGAGCACCUACUGAAGCCACUGAAAGCACCAUUGCCCAAAGGCCUCGGAAGCAUUCUCGCGUUCUCAAUGAUCGAGAACUUCUUGUGGCCCUUCAUCAGGAACAGGAUAAACAUCACUUUUGGCUAAAGAGACAGAUGCAAAGCCUCUUGGUGGAUGUCAAUCACAUUCGCAACCUUGCCACCAAGAAUGCCUUUGUUGCUCAUGAAACUUGCCGGCGAUCAUGGAAGAGUUUGACCCUGCUUAGUGCUGAAGCAGAUCUUCAAGACGAUGGCUUCAAUGAAAGAUUUCAGUUUGACUCCACUCCUCAACGGAAUGCUGUCCUACGAAGAACUCCAUCUCUUGAAGACUCUGAAUAUUCUUCCUCCGCGGCAACGGUAAAUGCCAGAGUGAUCAAUUAUGAAGAUGAUGCUACUUCACCACCUCCUACUACUACUGAACGCAUCGACACUGCACCAAGUUCAUCUGCACCGCCACCCAACGACAACAACCCUGCUGCUUCACCUACUCAUCAAGAAGACGAGUAGAUGCUCUAUGUCUUCAAACCUUUUUGGUCAUUACUGACAAAAGGGGGAGAAGCGUAUGAGUUGAUAGUCUUCAAGCGGGUUCAUAUGGGCGGUUGCGUUAUAUUUUGCCUCGUGCUUACAACUCUUGCAUUUUGAAACAUUUGGUUCUCUGAGUUGUAACACUUAAACUUGAUGGUCGUCUGCUACUUAUUUGCAUUUCCAUGUGCGAUGAUAACUUCCGCACUUAGAUCAUCCUGCAGACGUCCAUUUUUCAUUAUGCAUGUCAUCCUAUAUGCUAUAUCAUUUCAUGCCUGAUGAAUUAUCUUCAUAAAUUGAAGUGGAUCUCCACAAGUACAACCUGCCAUGUGCAUUUGCAUUCCAGAAGCAAAAUUAUUUAUAUGCACAUCUUCAGGGGGAGCCCUUGCUACUUAUGAAGACAAAUUCCUAUCCUUUACAAUUUCACAUACUUUAUCCCCAUUGAAAACUUCAACCAGUUUGUCAUCAAUCACCAAAAAGGGGGAGAUUGUAAGUGCAUCUAGUGCCACCCCUAGUUGGUUUUGGAGUAUUGACGAAAAAGUUGGUUGAGGGUUUAAUGCGUUUGUGAGAAUUGCAGGAUAACGCAGGUAGUGUCCCUCAUUGAUUCGGUUUACCAACCGGAGAUGACCCCUAAAAAUGUAUGAAGACAUUGACGACAAUGGUGGUAUGAGAAGAUAUUCAUAUUGAAGACUGUGACAUGAGAAGACAUUGCGUGAAGACUAUGGAGCACGAAGACUGUGUGGUUUCGUUGUUUCCUUUUCUUCUUUGUUGAGUCAUAGGAACCACCGUACUGUUAAGUGGGGUCCAAGUGAACUAAGUCAGAGUGACUGAAGUGAUGCUCAACCCAAAUCCUAUGUCUUCGAGCGAAGACAAUGAGAGCAAAUCUUAUCUAGAGUUGGAUGAGUCAGCUUUGCUUGUAGCCCAAGUAAAGUUGUCGUGUGUGUUUGAAAUCUGACCGUUGGAACACAUGUCAGUUCCUUAGUGACCCAGGGUCAUUUCGGACAAAUCAGGUCGGGUUGCCUAGUGGCUAUAAAUAGCCCACCCCCUACACCAUAAAUUGGUGGCUGCUCAGAGUUAAUAUACGGCUUUUGUCGUUUGAGAGCAACCCACCUCGAAGCAUUUGAGAGAGAGAAAUCCUUGCGAGGACAAAGCCCAAACACCCAGAGCCAAAGAGUGUUAGGCAUCACUAAAGUCUUUCUGUCUGUGUGACCUGAAGACUUAUUACACUUGAGGACUGUGCAUCCUCUAGCCGGUUAGGCGUCUCGUUCUGAGCAUCCAAGAGUCAUUGUGGAUUGUCGGGUGAACGGAGUCUGUGAAGGUUUGGAAGUCUACCUUGAAGACUUACGAGAGUGAUUGGGCGAGGACUGGGUGUCCUUAGCUCAAGGGGAAUAAGGUGAAGACACUGUCUUCUGAGUUGAAUCUCAGCCUCCCUAACCAGACGUACAGUUGUCACAGCAACUGGAACUGGUCCAACAAAUCAUGUGUCUUCAACAAGUGACUGGUUCUGUCUCUUCCCUCCUUUACUUUGAGUUUGUCUUCAUGAAGUCAUUGCUUAUCUGUCUUAUCUGAUUGACUUCAUUGCUUGACUACUAUUGUUGAUUGGCUUCAUAUUAUCUUCCAUCCUGAUCCUACUACCUAGCUGCUAUUGGUCUUCGUACGUUAAUGCUAUUGCAUACUUGACUAUGGCUUGCUUGUUGUAGUUUAUCUUCCGUUGCAUAUCAAUUAGGUUAUUUCUAUUGUUUGUCUUCGAAACUUCCAUGUUUUGAAGACUUUCAUAAAAAUCGCCUAUUCACCCCCCCUCUAGUCGAUAACUAGCACUUUCACAACUCCCCUUUGACCUUCUUAGUAAAAAGAGUGGGGUCGAUUUUCCCCAUUUCGAACCCACGAUAUUGCAACAACUCGGUAAGGUGCUCAUACCACACAAGUGGGUCUUGUUUAAGGCCAUAGAGUGCCUUGUCGAGUUGGUACACAUGAUCGGGGAAAUAGGGAUCCUCGAACCCCGGGGGUUGUUUGACAUACACCAGCUCAUCAAUGGGAGCAAAGGUUUCACCAUAGUCGAUACCCUCGACUUGGGAGUAGCACUAUGCCACCAAACGAGCCUUGUUGCGAACAAUGAUCCCAUGAGCAUGUUGCUUGUUCUUGAAUAUCCACUUGGUUCCAAUGACAUUAUGAUUCCCCGUUGGCCUUGGCACCAAUCUCCACACUUGGUUGUGCUCGAAGUUGUUGAGUUCUUCAUGCAUGGCAUUGAGCCAAUCCGGAUCCUCGAGCGCCUCAUAUACCUUUUGGGGUUCGACACAAGAAACAAACGCGUGAUGUUCACAAUAGUUUGCUAAUUGUAUACGAGUGCUUACCCCCUUUCUUAGUCUUCCAACCACAUUCUUCAUGAGAUGACCUUUGGUUGUGAGCUUGGAAGCAAUCUUCGCGGCACGAUGCUCGAAUUCCUCCUCAGGUGUGAAAAGAGGAGCGGAAACUUGAUCAUCUUGAGCGCCGUCAUGAGCUUGUUCUUGAUCUUGAGCCUGCUCUUGAUCUUGAACUUGCUCGGAAGGGAGAACUUGACCUUGGGCAUCACUUGGUGGCUCACCACCAUCUUGAGGUUGAUCUUACCCUUGAUCUUGUUCACGUGGUUGAGGGCCUUCACUUUGUUCUUUGGAAGCGUGUGGGUCUUGGGUCGGUGAUGGCUCCACUUGAGUGGAGCAUUGUCCUUCUCCUUCGGCCACAAGGGGUUCCCCAAUGGGUAGGAUAUGACCAACACCUAUUCUUCUUAUGGCUUGGGGAGGAAUUUCAUCACCUACAUCGCAAGUACCACUUUACUCCACUUGGGAGCAGCUAUUCUCGUCAAACUCCACGUUACACGUCUCCUAAAUGAGUCUCGUGGACUUGUUGAGGACACAGUAAUCAUGAGAUUUUGUAGCAUAACCAAUAAAUAUGCCCUCAUGAGCUCUAGCCUCAAAUUUAGACAACCGAACACCUUUCUUGAGAAUGAAACACUUACAACCGAACACCCGGAAGUACUUGAGGUUGGGCUUGUUACCGGUGAGUAUUUCAUAUGGAGUCUUGUUCAAGCCUUUGCGGAGAUAGAGCCGAUUGGAUGCAUGACAUGCGGUGUUGAUGGCUUCGGACCAAAAGUUGUAAGGAGACUUGAACUCCGCCAUCAUGGUCCUUGCCGCAUCCAUCAACGUCCUAUUCUUCCUCUCCACAACACCAUUUUGUUGAGGGGUGUAUGGUGCGGAAUAUUGAUGCUUGAUCCCCUCAUCACUAAGAAACUCAUCCAAGGUGUAGUUCUUGAACUCGGUGCCAUUGUCACUUCUUAUUGUCAAGACCUUUGCAUCAUGUUGACGUUGAGCUUCAUUUGCAAAGUCGAUGCCAGUUUGUUGAGUUUCACUCUUCCUCUUGAAGAAAUAUACCCAAGUGUACCUUGAGUAAUCAUCGACAAUCACCAAGCAAUACUUUGUACCCCCAAGACUAUCAAAGGAUGGAGGCCCAAAGAGAUACAUGUGAAGGAGCUCCAAGGGUCUCUUCGAGUAGAUGAUAGUCGUGGGAGGGUGAGCCUUCUCAUGUAACUUUCCUUUGAUACAAGCACUGCAAGCACGAUCUUUGGCAAAACUAACAUUUGUUAGUCCACGGACAUGGUCCCCCUUGAGAAGACUUUGCAAAGAUCUCAUAUUGACAUGGGCUAAACGGCGAUGCCAAAGCCAUCCCACAUCAACUUUAGCCAUUAGGCAUGUCGCGAUCUUAGUGGGUCGCUCCAAAAAGUUAAUCUCAUAAAGAAUGUUCUUGACAUGCCCAACAAAGGCUACUUUAAGAGUCUUGCUCCAUAAGAGGGCCACGGUAUCAAUAUCAAAGAAUGUGGCAAAAUCCAUGAGUGCAAGUUGACAAACAGAAAGUAAACUAUAUGCAAGGGACUCAACAAGCAUGACUUUCUCGAUCGUGAGAUCAUGAGAAAUGACAACCUUGCCAAGACCCAAUACCUUGGAGGACGAGGCGUCACCCUACUCGACAUUGGUGGGCAUAGAUGGAAUCUUAUGCACGUCCACCACCAAAUCCUUGCUUCCGGUCAUAUGAUUUGUGGCUCCACUAUCGAGAAACCAUGAUCCCCCACCGGAAGCAAACACCUACAAGAGAUCAAUGCUUGGUUUUAGGUACCCAUUUUGUAAUGGGUCCUUUGAUGUUAGUAACAAGGGUCUUAGGAACCCAAAUAGACCAUUCAAUGUACUCAUAAGGAGAACCAACAAAUUUAGCAUAAACAUGCCCAUCACUAGCACGGCACAACACAUAAGAGGGGUUAAAGUUGUCGGCUUUGUUGGAAGGGGUGGCAUUGCCCAUUUUGACAUCACCACCCUUCACAUUGUUCUUCUUCUCCUUAGAAGCACCCUCUCCCUCCUUUACAAAAGUUUGCUUGAGAGGAGGAGGUCGUUUGAUCUUGUUAUUCUUCUUCUUGUUCUUGGACUUGGGUGCGAACCCAACUCCCUCCUUGGCCACAACUUCCUUUUGAUUGCUCAAAAGGUCAUUGAGAUUCUUCUCACCUUGUAUGCAAGACACAAUGCCUUUCUCAAGUUGCUCCUUCAACUUGGCAUUCUCCUCCACAAGAUGCACAUGCUCACACGGGUUAGUAGCAUUUGCGUUAUCAAUUAAGACCAUAUGAGGAAAAGUGGCUUUCUCUUUGGUUAGCUUCACUUGGAGUUGAUCAUGAGACUCCUUGAGGUUAGCAUGAGCACCCUUCAAGGCCUUGUGAGCCUUGUCAAGUAUAUCAAACUCCUCUUUGAGUCUAGCAUGGUCAACCCCAAGUUUAGCCUUCUCGGAAUUGAGUACACGAGAUACAACAAGAGCAUGAUCAAGAUCUUUCUUUAAUUUAGCAUGGUCAUCGUUGUGUGACUCCUCAAGAGCCAAACAAUGAACAUGCUCUUCCUCAAGCGCAUUAGAGAGGUCCGAUAUCUCAUCUUCAUAGUCACGACUAUGACCUUCCAUCUUAGAGAUGGUUUCCUCAUGAGCCUCGAGCAUGUCAUUGGCUUCACCAAGUUGUUCCAAGGGAGCAACGAAGUGCUUCUUGGAUUUGCCCUUGAGCUUACUCAUAAAAGACUCAAAUUCAUCUACUUCCACAUUAGACCCCUCAUUUUCAUCAAUGCAAUCCGUCAAGGAAGGAUUAGUAAUGAUGGUAGUUUUGAUGUUGGGGGUUACCAUGUUGGUGGCUUUGGCCAUGAGGCACUUGGCGGUGAUGUUCUCGUUGGGUGAGUCGAAGAGAGACACCCAUGGAGUUGUGGCAAUGGCAACGGAGGCCAUGGCCAUGGCUUCACUAUCUUCAUCAUCAUCAUCCUCCUCGUGGUAUUCUUCUUGAGCCACCAACCCUUUGGUUGGAGUCUUCUUGGUGAAGUUGUUCUUGUUGGGGAAGGACUUGGCUUUGUCUUUUCCGAUGAGCUUGCCACCAUUGUCUUCCCUCUUCUCGUAAGGGCACUCCACAAUGAAGUGGCUCACAUUGCCACAAUUGUAACAUGUUCUCGCACGUUGCUUGCCCUUGAAGCCACUAGAGUUGUUCUUGUUGAAAUUGGGCCUUGAGUUCUUCUUGCUCCAAAAUUGCCUUGAAGCAAGAGCCAUGUGCUCAUGGUAAUCAUAUUUCGUAUCUUCGGGGUUGCUCUCCUCAUCUUCCUAUUCCUCCUCUUCUUCCACACUAACCUUGGCCUUCAAGGCAAGGUUGGGCUUAUUUUCUCUUUGAGAAUGCAACACCGCAUUGUCGGCGGUCUUGUCCAAGAUCCUCAUUGCCGCAAACUCAUCCAACACUUCACUUGAAGACAAGGUGUGGAAGUCCAGCCUUUGAUGGAUGAUGGAGGACCUGGCCUUGUGGUAAGGCAUCAUGGCCUUGAGAAACUCGCACUUGAUCCAAUUGUCAUCUGUAUCCUUGCUCCCAUGAUCUCGGAGUGAGACCGCGAGAGUAGUUAAUCUCCAGUAAAGCUCACGAGGUUCUUCAUCUUCAUUUAUUGCAAACUCAUCAGAUUCAUCUUGCACCACUUCAUAGUUGGAGCGUUGAAUGCUUGCGCUUCUCUUGUAGAGGGAAACUACUUGGUGCCAUGCUUCCUUGUCUACGGUGAAGGGUCAGAGAUGCGCAAUAUCUUCAGGUGGAAUUGCAUCUUGGAUGAUGAAGAGAGCAUUCUCAUUGAAUUGAUUAUCUGCGGCUUAUCUUGGGGUGAAAUUGCUUCGAUCAUGUGGAUAGAAACCUUCUUCAAUGAUUCUCCAAAGAUUAGUAUUAACAUGGUUUAAAUGACGUUUAAAGUGAUAAACCCAAGAGUCAAAAUCCUCAUUCUUCACAAUCUUGGGAGGAGAACCCGCAUGAUUUAAGUGAGUGGAGGGAACCGGUCCUCCAUAAGUAAGAGGUGGUUCAACAUGAGCAUAGAUACCAUUUCCACUUUUACCACUAGGCAAAGGAACUUUGUCACUAGAAGCUUCCUCCUUAUUGGAGUUGGCAUCCGCCACCUUGUUAGUGGGAGCGGCCACUUCCAAAGGUGCGGUGGAUAAUUUAAGACCAUCAAGGAACUCUUUGAACAUGCCAUUGACCUCGGUCGUCAUGGAGGUUUUCAAUGUGUCCAAAGCCACAUUGAAUUCCUCACGUGAGACCGGGGAUCCCCCAUCUGCCAUAGACGAAGAAGGAUUCACACCGGGGUGCUCCUCCUCACCGUCUAUAGUGUCAACCAUACUCUUAGGACGGUAAAGCCAUAAUUAAGAGAUGAGGCUCUGAUACCAAUUGAAAGGAUUGAUAUAGUUGACUAGAGGGGGGUGAAUAGGCAACUAACAAUUUUUAGCUUUUCUUUACCAAAUUAAACUGUGGAUCAAAGUAGGUUGUCUAGAUAUGCAACUAGGUGAGCAACAUAUAUGAUGCAACUACAAAAAGCACACAAGCAAGCAAAGGAUAUAACACAAUAUAACUUGCAGAAGUAAAGGUAAGAGAUAACCAAGAGUGGAAUCGAUGGAGACGAGGAUAUGUUACCGAAGUUCCUUCCCUUUGAGGGGAAGUACGUCUCCGUUGGAGCAGUGUGGAGGCACAAUGCUCCCCAAGAAGCCGCUAGGGCGACCGUAUUCUCCUCACGCCCUCACACAAUGCGAGAUGUCGUGAUUCCAAUAUUGGUGCCCUUGGAGGCAGCGACCGAACCUUUACAAACAAGGUUGGGGCAAUCUCCACAACUUAAUUGGAGGCUCCCAACGACACCAUGAAGCUUCACCACAAUGGACUAUGGCUCCGCGUGACCUCAACCGUCUAUGGUGCUCAAACACCCAAGAGUAACAAGAUCCGUAAGGGAUUAGUGGGGGGAUCAAAUUUCCCUUGGUGGAAGUGUAGAUCGAGGCCUUCUCAACCAAUACCUAGAGAAUCAACAAGUUUGAUUGGCUAGGGUGAGAGAUCGGGCGAAAAUGGAGCUUAGAGAUGGAAGAGGUAGUCAACUCGGAGAAGAAGACUCCCCUUAUAUAGUGUAAGACCAAAUCCAACCGUCAUCCACCAACUCAGCCUGCGACACGCCGUACUACCGCACCAUACAAGCGGUACUACCGCAGGGGCCUGCGGCACUACCGCGGCGGACCGCGGUACUACCGCUGGCACGGCAGGGGCUAGGACUAGUCCUGAUGUGCUAAGACAAGGAGCAGUAGAACCGCUGGCGCGGUACUACCGCACCCCCACCGCAAGGCAGGGAUAGUCUAGGCUGAGAAGGCACAGACAUAAAAAAAUACAUUUGUGACUACUUCCGCUGAGUUUAGGUCUAUGCAAAAAAUCCUACACGGUACUACCGCAAGCCUAGAGUGGUACUACCGUGUAGGGCACGGAUGUAAAAAAUUACAUCCGCUCCUACUUCCGCUCAUGCUGCUGUGCCUGGCCAGAACUCACGGCAAGGCGCGGUACUACCGCGUAGGGCAUAGAUGUAAAAAAUUACAUCCGCCCCUACUACAGCUCGAGCAGCUGCACCUGGCCUGAGGCCAUGGUACUACCGCUCCCAAGGAGCAGUACUACCAUGAGCACCUAUGGUACUAUCGUGCUGGAGCCCGGUACUACCGCGAGGGCCUGCGGUAGUACCGCUCUGGAGAGCAGUACUACCGCAUGCCUCAGUUCAACAACAUUAGGAGCCCUUCAUUUUGCAGACACACGGAGAGACGGAGGAUGCUCCAAAGAGCCAAAGGAAAGGUGGCGCAAAAAGGGACAAACGUGUACGUGAGAUUCCACCCAAACCUUUCCAACAUGGACCCCCUCUUAAUAGUACGGCUUUCCUACGACUCAAAUCCACCGAAAAGAAACGUAGAGAAACGCCGUCUUCAAUAGUCUUCGAGGGGCACCAAAUCGUCUUGUGUUUAGACAUGGUAUAUCUGAAAUGCUCAGUGCACACGAUUAGUCCACAAAAGCAUUGUCAUCAAUCACAUAAACUACUAAGGGAUAAAUAUGCCCUUACAACAGUAAUAUAAUAGUUUUGAUAGCAGUGAUAAUAGUAAUAGUAAUGGUAACAAUGAUAGCAAUGAUUUUGUAGUAGUUGUGAUAGUAGCAACAACAGUAGUAACUUAGUAAGAACAAUAUGUGGAAAAUUCGUAGGCAGUGGAUCAGUGAAUUCAUUGGAUGAUAUUCAUCAUAUAACAAUCAUAACCUAGGGUGAUACAAAACUAGCUCCAGUUCAUAAAUAUAAUGUAGGCAUGUAUUUCGUAAAUAGUCAUACGUGCUUAUGGAAAGAACUUGCAUGAUAUCUUUUGUCCUACCCUCCCAUGGCAGUGGGGUCCAUAAGGAAACUAAGAGAUAUUAAAGCCUCCUUUUAAUAGAGAACCGGAACAAAGCAUUAACACAUAAUGAAUACAUGAACUUCUCAAACUACGGUCAUCACCGGAAAGUCCUGAAUACUGUCACUCCGGGGUUUAUGGAUCAUAACAUGUGAUAGGUGACUACAACUUGCAAGAUCGGAUCUAGAAUAUAGAUAUAAUGGUGAUAACAUAAAUGGUUCAGAUCUGAAUCAUGGCACCCAGGCCCAAAGUGACAAGCAUUAAGCAUGGCAAAGUCAUAGCAACAUCAAUCUCAAAACAUAGUGGAUACUAGGGAUCAAGCCCUAACAAAACUAACUCGAUUACAUGAUGAAUCUCAUACAGCUCCUCACCGACCAGCGAGCCUGCAAAGGAAUUACUCACUCCUAGUGGGGAGCAUUAUGGAAAUGGCGAUGGAGAAGGGUUGGUGAUGAUGAACAUCGAAGAUUCCCCUCUCCAGAGUCCUAAACGGACUCGAGAUCUGGCCUCCCGAUGAAGAACAGGAGGCGGCGGCGGCUCCGUCUCGUGAAACGCGAUAAUUCUUUCUCCUCAAUUUUUUUCUCCGAAAAUGUGAUUUUAUAGCUUAGGAGAUUGGGUCAAUGGGGCCACCAGGUGGGCACAACCCACCUGGACACGCCAGGAGGGGGGCACCCUAGUGGGUUGUGCUCUCCCAGGGACCCCCCCCCCCUUCGGUGGUUCUUGGCUCCAGUAUUUUCUUUUAUUGUAUAAAAAUUCUCCAAAAAGUUUUGUUCCAUUCCGAGAACUUUUAUUUCUGCACAAAAACAACACCAUGUUAGUUCUGCUGAAAACAGCGUCUGUCCGGGUUAGUUUCAUCCAAAUCAUGCAAAUUAGAGUCCAAAACAAGAGCAAAAGUGUUACGAAAAGUAGAUACGACGGAGACGUAUCAAUGUCGCAGAAUGGAAAGAAAAAGUAAAAUGCGUCUUUUCCCUUUCCAAGAGGCACGACCGCCUCUACGAGAAGUAAAUUCGUGUCUCUCGUGGAACGAAAAAAACAUUGAUUUUCCCUUUUCGAGAGGCAUGCUCGUGUCUCUAGUGGAAGCAGAUCCAUGCCUACACGAAAAUUAAAUCUAUGCCUCUCACGAAAGAAAAAUAAAAGAAAAGAAAACCCAUUUUUUCACGAAACUUUUGGUCCAAGUCCUAAGAAAACCCGGGGGCAGAAAAGCCGAAACCCCAAAAAGAAGUCAUUUAAAAGCCGAAAACGCGUUUAGAAAAAUAACAAAUAAAAUCUGAAGGGAGUGCCUAGAACACGACACGUGGCGGCCGCUGAGAACGUGCCAAGUGGGCCACUCCCAGCCCACCCCAAGUGACCCUUGUGGGGGCUCCCGAACGAGUACUCCUCAAUUAGUUGCUCUUGCGGUCAAUGGUCAAAAGCAUUCUAGACGUGACAUUACACUGCCAGUAAUUGUUAGGGAUUUGAGGGGGCUCAAAACUUAUUUGAUUUUACCAUCAUAAAUAGCUUUGGGCAAUGAUAGGCGCCGGUGUGCCGGCCAAAAUUUAUGUUAGUCGUACCAUGAGCAUCUGAUGCACUGCCCUUUAAUCGUCCAGAUCGAGCCUCUGUUUUGUUCUCAUCCCCCCCAUCAUCUGUCUUCUUCCCCAAAUACGCGAGAAAAAGAGCGACGACGAGCGUCGCCGGCCACCUUGCUCCCAGCCAUGGGCGUGCGCCUCUCGCUGUUGGCGGUGAGCUAGCAGCCUUCCCUGUCGUCGUUCAGAUUGCUCACCGUGGCUACCUCGUCUUGCAGCUCCUGGUUGUGCACGCAUCGCUGCUCUGGCAGCGCCUUUCCUAGCACUGGCCGACAAGGGUUGUAGCUCGCGGCCCCCAUGGUUGUAGCACCGGGUUGCGUCGCCCCCACUGCCUCUCGCCGUCAACGCUCAGCGCACCGGUUCCCAUUCGCCACCCCUCGUCGUCGUCUCUUGGGUCAGCGUUUUGGCACAUAACCUUCGCAUCAAAACAAAACGUCGGAUAUAGCUUUUGAUGGUGCUGGUUGCAACCCACCGCGACGGCACCCGUUGUUGUCUUAGCACCACUUCGUCGGUUGAAGCAAAACAAUACACAUGUUCCAACUUCUGUCGAUAAUAGUUCCAGCAUCUACAUAACAUGGUUGUAGCUCUGCUACUAGCCGGCUCCAGCAAAAAUCAGAGGAUUGCGAGUCGUCGCCUCCGUCCGCCCUUGCUGCAAAAAAAACGGUUCCAGCAUCCCCGCUACCGGUUGUAGCAAAUUGUCGAUGAUGGUGUCACCACUGCAGCUCCAGUGCGCACGGUUGUAGCAUCUGCGAGCAUGGUUGUAGCAAAAAUCAUCGAUGACGGCGUCGCCGGUUGCAGCUCCGAGGAGCAUGGUUGUAGUAAAAAAUGACGACAACGGCGUCGCCAAUUGCAGGUCCAGUGAGCGCGCUUGCAGCUUCUGGGCGAUGCCGUGGCCGGUUGUAGAAUACAAGGACACUGGUUCCAGCAAAAACUCAUCUUGCCUUGACCAAGGUGCACCACCACCACCACCACCGCUUGUUGUAGCAGUCGUCGACGACGGUCAUAGCAAGGCCAUGCGGAUCACCACCACUCGUCGUUGCAGCGCCCUGAUGGACGGACCUCGUAGCUACGUCGGCGGGACUCAAAGCCGGAGUUGGGCGGAGGACAUCGCUGGGAUCUGCCAGGGUUGUAGGUGGCCAUGGCCGCGGGGAUGGGAGAGGGUCUCGCAGGCAACGACGGGGCAAUGAGGUUGGGCACCGAGCAAGCCAUGUAGGUGCUGUGGAGGUGCACAACUUAUCGGGGAGUCGCUCGUCGGGGAAGAUUUAUGUGCUAGGCUGGCCAUGGCUAGGAGUUCAAAGGUAGGGGACUGGGAGCAAAGAGAAACGAGUGACAACGAGUGAUUGCACUGCGUUGCGGGGAUAAGACGAAGAAGUGCACGAGGGCACAAGUGUGUUAGCGAGCAAGGCGUCCGGCGCAACAUUCGGCCGGCGCGCCGGAUACAAGCGUUUACCAAUAGCUUUUGUUCUUUCCUUUUACAUACUGAACCUUGUAUCGUUUAUUUUCGAAAAUUAAUAAAAGAUGCAGUCCAGCUGUUUCCCUGGGGGGGAAAAUCUGAAUAACGCGCACCGUGUAGGCGUGUGAACACAGAGCACGGGCGAAGGCACGGGAGAGAGAAUCCAGGCCGUCGAUCGCCGCAUCGAAGGCUCGCCGAAACGGGCGAGGAAACCGCAAUAAAAUCCCAUCCCCUCCCCCAACGGUCGUCUCUCAGCAGUGCGCAGCCCCAAUCCCAAACCCUCACAGGUUCAAAAAUCGAAUCCGCCGCUGCCCAAAUCUCACAUUCCUCCCUCUCUCUCCGUCUCUCGUCUCCUCCCCCAAUCUCGUCUCCGCCCUCCGCCCCCGAACCCCCGACUCCCCGACCCGAAGAUCUCCGCUCCUCCCGCUCCGCGCCGGCCCCAGAUCGCGGCGAUGGGAGCGGAUCCGGACGCCUCCUCCUCCUCGCCGGCGGCGGCGUCUCCGUCACGGCAGCCGCGACAAGGUACGCGACGCGCGGGUAUGGGGUUCCGUCGUGGGGAGAAAGAUACCGAGGUGUUGGGUUUCUCUUGGUUUUCUCAUGGCGAGGGUUUUCUUUCGGCAGGCGAGGAAGACCUCCGCGCCGUGGAGUCCGCGGACCACCUGAGUCCGAGCCGCCGCGCGGAUUCGAGCCCUGCGCCGCCGCCGUCGCCCGCGUCCGCCGCGCCGGUGCCCCAGCAUCCCGAAGGUACGGUCCUUGGUCCUGUUUGCAACCAAUUGAGCGCUAGGGUUUGUUGGUAUCCGUUUCACGGUGCGGGAUUUGUCCAGUGUCAGGCGAGGACGCGGUGCUGGCCAGCGAGGAGGCGGUGGAGGAACAGCCCGCCCUUGAGGAGGUGGUGGUGGAGGCGGAGGCGGCUGUUGCAGGAGGAGAUGGGGAGGCUCUCCGCAGCUUCUUGGAGGUGGGAAAUUUUGGAUUCUUGCUCUCAGAUCUCGUGAAUUUCUUAGCUCCUAACGUUUUAGAACUCCUGGGCGUUCUCUCCAUUAUAUCUGGCCCAUUCUUUGUGAUCUAUGCCAAUGAUUUCUAGAUUUCUUCCUGCAGGAAUUCGGGGAUCAAGCAGAUGAUUAUAUUAUCCCAUCUCCGCGCCUGAAGGGGAUCGCAACUCCUGACUGCCCUGCUGCCCUUCAAUUCCUAGGUACACAGUCAAGCAUAAUACGCACCUUGCUUACGGAUGGAUGGUAAAACUUAUUUGCUCAAUUGCUUGCAGAAUCAUUGACAUUUGAUCUUGUUUGUUGUACCUGUAGGGGGGAGGUACAAUAGCCUGAUGGAGAAGCACAACAGCCUGAUGGAGAAGUACAAGCAGCAGGUGGCUAAGUGUGCCGAGGAGUGUGCACCAAGGUUUGAUGGCUUGAAGAACAAGUACACGGUGGAGUGUGCAGAGCGGCGGCGUUUGUACAAUGAGCUCAUCGAGCUGAGGGGAAACAUCAGGGUAUUCUGCCGGUGCCGCCCUCUAAGUUCCGACGAGAUCUCCCGUGGCUGCUCAUCAGUGGUUGAGGUUGACCCGUCCCAGGAGAUGGACCUUCAGUUUGCUCCCACGGAAAAAGAGAGGAAGACCUUUAAAUUUGACCAUGUUUUUGGACCGGCUGAUGAUCAAGGUAUUUACUGUCCUAUGUUUCAGAUUCAUAGUUUUGUGAUAUGAAAUGGAGGUUAAUUGCAUAUCCCAGGCAAUAUGUUGUAGUAAUAAUUUGAUUGAACUAAUUGCAUAUGCAUUCCUUUUCCGAAUCUAUUUUAUAUUCCCUCUGUAAAGUAAUUAGAUCUUUUAGAUCACUACUCCCUCCGUCCGAAAAUACUUGUCAUCAAAAUAGAUAAAAAACGAUGUAUCUAAAACUAAUAUACAUCUAGAUGCAUCCUCUUUUCUUCAUUUUGAUGACAAGUAUUUCCGGACGGAGGGAGUACAUGAUUAUAUAGUUGAAGGAUGUUGAAUCUAAUGGGUUUUAUUCUAAUUGUUUCCUUCAGAGGCUGUAUUUGCUGAGAGCCUGCCAGUCGUGAGAUCAGUGAUGGAUGGUUUCAAUGUAUGCAUCUUCGCAUAUGGGCAAACUGGAACAGGGAAAACCUUCACUAUGGAAGGUGUUCCAGAGAAUAGGGGUGUUAAUUAUAGGGCUCUUGAAGAACUGUUCAGGAUCUCAGAGGAGAGAAGCUCAUCUGUCUCGUACUCAUUUGGUGUGAGUAUCUUGGAAGUCUAUAAUGAAAAAAUCAGGGACCUUCUUGAUGACAACUCUGAACAAACAUCAAAAAGGUACAUCUCGUUUCUUAUCAUUUAUCCUGACUCUGUAGUAAGGAAUGGAGCUUAAUAUCAUGUUGCAUCUGAAGGUUGGACAUAAAGCAAAGUGCUGAUGGGGCACAAGAGGUGCCUGGCUUGGUUGAAGCUCCAAUUUCUACAAUAGAUGGUGUGUGGGAGAAACUGAAAGCUGGCGCUAGAAAUAGAUCUGUUGGAUCAACCAGUGUCAAUGAACUGAGCAGUCGCUCCCAUAGGUAUCGUUUCUACACUUGUAUGACACUCGUUCUAAUUAAUUCAACUCAUGAUAGACUGUUAACAACUACUCCUAGAUUCAAAUUAGUAUACUUGACAUAGUAAUGACAUUAUUUCAGCAAUGGGAUAAUGAUAUCUGGACUUCUGUUGUACUUACAGCUUGGUUAGGGUCACCGUUACAAGUGAGCAUUUGGUGACUGGGGAAAGGAGCAGAAGCCACAUGUGGUUGGUUGACCUUGCUGGAAGUGAGCGCUUGGCUAAAACUGAAGUAGAAGGAGAGAGGCUGAAGGAGGCAAAGUUCAUCAACAAGUCACUCUCUGCACUGGGUGAUGUUAUCGCUGCCCUUGCCUCCAAAAAUGCCCACAUCCCAUAUCGGUCAGUCUUAUUUAUUAUCCACAUGCUUCAACAUCUGCCUUGCUCAGUUACUAAAAGAAGCAAUACCCUCAGCUGAGUCUUACCACUACUCUUUUCUGUCAAAUGUAGGAACUCCAAGCUAACUCAUCUGCUCCAAAGCUCAUUAGGUAAGGGACUUUCUAAAAGAGUUGUGCAAGUGCACUGAUUUCUAGCUAAAUGGUUAUGAUUAGUCUCCUUUUAUUGAACUUGCUUAUGCACUGGAAUGUCUAAAGACAAAAAUGAAGAGAUAAAGAGUGUUCACCUUGCAUUAACUGUUGCAGGUGGAGAUUGCAAGACACUUAUGUUUGUGCAGAUAAGUCCAAGCUCUACAGAUUCAGGAGAAACUUUGUGCUCACUAAAUUUUGCUAGUAGAGUUCGAGCUAUUGAACAUGGCCCUGCCCGUAAACAAGUGGAUCCAGCUGAAAAUUUCAAGAUCAAGCAGAUGGUACUUUAUUUCCGACCUUGUUGACUAAUUAUAACAUGAUUCAGCUAUUGUAUUAACUGGAAAUUGUUCCAGGCCGAAAAGCUCUGUCAUGAGGAAAAGGAAAAUGCGAAGUUGAACGAAAGCUUGCAACUGAUGCAACUCAAGUAUGCUUCUCGUGAGAAUGUCUUCAGAACUCUUCAUGAUAAGGUAUGUGGUGCCAACUAUAAUUGCUAACUGACAGACUAAAAACCAAUUCAUUAAAAAAAACAAUUCAUAUAUGGAACUAAGUUUUUAACAUAUAUGAAUGUUGUGCAACAGAUAAGGGAGACUGAGCAAGCCUGCAGAACUCAUCAGCAGCGGGUAAGUAAGAGAUUCAGUUCUGCUUGCUUGAGCAAGCCUGCAGAACUCAUCAGCAUGUAUUUUCCUAUGCUGGUCUGUGUUUAUGACAGUUCUAUUUGUACAGGCUAGAGAGCUGGAGAAUGAAUUAGCUAAUGAGAAGAAGGCUGCGAGGGAUACGGGUAAAUCCACGAAGCCAUCAUUUGCCGCUCCUGUGAGGCAGAGACCACCACUUGCUCCUAUGAGGCAGAGACCACCAAGCAACAACAUGCCACAACCUUCAGGCCCUUCCAGAGUGAGGUUCGCUGGUAAGGGAUCUUCAGUUCAGAACAAAGAGAACAUCCCUACGACGAACAAAACCAUUGUGGACAAGACUGCUGGCAAAGCACGGCGUGUAUCUUUAGUUCCCAUGAUGCGACAGAUCCCUCUCCAGCCUAAGAGGCGAUCCUCGAUUGCGAUCCUACCAAGCGAGAGAGAGCGGAUGUCCAUAUUUCCCGAGAAGAAAGCAAUGUCACGGCUGUCCCAUGUCCAAAUGUCAAGAACAGCAAGACCACAGGCGACUUUUAACUCAAUUCCAGAAACACCACAGGCAGCAGUCGACGCAACUCCAGAUGUCAGAGGAAAGUUUAGAAGAAUGGAGUUCGGCAGCAGCAGCAGGUUCUCAAGCCCUCCAACGCUGUCCAUGCGGAAGUCAAGGAACAAUAUCUCGUCUCCACAGCAGAGGUGUAGGCAGCAGUCAGGGUCUGGAAAUGCCAGCAAGCUAUGCUUCAGUAUCCAGAAAAGAGUAGCUCUUGGUUCACCUGCUCCAGCAAGAACAACUUCCCUGACGUCUGGUACUGGCAUCUUUGAUCCAGCUCUGCGUGAGCAGAUAAUGGCAGGGAGAUUCGGCAAUGCGCAGCGGGUGUUCAACGCCAAGAGGAGAAUGUCCGUCCUCUAGGGGGGGCGUGCGUGCUUGGGAGGUGAAGAAGAUCCAGUUUGGAAUGUUGAAACAACAGUGCGGAACCGGGAUACUGAAGGAACGUGGCACUUUUGCUUCCUCGGAGAAGACCAACCAUGGCUGGGGCGGGAGCUUGUGUUGAUAAGAGAACUUGUAACUUGUGUUAGGGUUCUCUUGGCGAUGAUAAAUGUCUACUUUUAGGGUUGUGUAUAAUUAUACCCUGACGGGUUGGUUGGUUGGAUUAGCCUUUGGCAUCAGUCUGGAUGUUCUUUCCCUCCUAGAAGCUGCUUGCCUAUUAUGCUACUUACUGAUAAGAAAACUAGGUUCCAGUUAUUCAUAUCAUUUGUUUGGAAUGAUAUAUAU
This 25697-nucleotide long non-coding RNA is filed under the name Triticum aestivum (bread wheat). Its description in RNAcentral is "long non-coding RNA (TAES_LNC006974)". The stretch from base 22539 to 22673 matches the Rfam family "MIR1120/MIR1122 microRNA precursor family". The record is from RNAcentral. Lineage: Eukaryota; Viridiplantae; Streptophyta; Magnoliopsida; Poales; Poaceae.